UGGCGAACGGGUGAGUAACACGUGGGUGAUCUGCCCUGCACUUUGGGAUAAGCCUUGGAAACUGGGUCUAAUACCGGAUAGGAGCCAUUUUUAGUGUGAUGGUUGGAAAGUUUUUUCGGUGUAGGAUGAGCUCGCGGCCUAUCAGCUUGUUGGUGGGGUAAUGGCCUACCAAGGCGGCGACGGGUAGCCGGCCUGAGAGGGUGGACGGCCACAUUGGGACUGAGAUACGGCCCAG
Molecule: ribosomal RNA, 235 nt
Filed under: uncultured Actinomycetales bacterium
Lineage: Bacteria; Bacillati; Actinomycetota; Actinomycetes; Actinomycetales
Description: partial 16S ribosomal RNA
Rfam family: Bacterial small subunit ribosomal RNA
Source: RNAcentral